RNAcentral lists this long non-coding RNA (1920 nucleotides) under Canis lupus familiaris (dog). RNAcentral describes it as "lncRNA (ENSCAFG00000058908.1)". Lineage: Eukaryota; Metazoa; Chordata; Mammalia; Carnivora; Canidae. The record is from RNAcentral.
CUUUUUUUUUUUUUUUUUUUUUAAUUUAUUUAUUCAUGAGAGACAGAAAUACAGGCAGAGGGAGAAGCAGGCUCCAUGCAGGGAGCUCGACAUGGGACUCGAUCCCGGGUCUCCAGGAUCAGGCCCUGGAUUGAAGGUGGUGCCAAACCGCUGAGCCACCUGGGCUUUAGGGUGCUUAAACUCAUCCAUAUAAAGAACUCUCUCCAGGAAGUCAGGCAAUUUCUAUGGAAUCAGAGAAGGGAGGUUUGGUCUCUACUAGGAUGCAUCCAGGGGCUCUACUCCAAAAGGUAGAGACCCAAAAGGCCCACGUGAGGCCUUGAAUUGAGCCAGCUGGGCACAAAGUGUAGCUGCCUAGUCUAACUUUUGUAGCUAACCAGAUUAAGGACUCUAUAUCCGUUUGUGGACACUCAGGACCCCAACAUCCCCCUCUUCCUCCCUUGCUGCUACCGGCCCUUUUGUCAACUUUCUAUUGGGUGGCAUUACCAUCUGUGGAUAUUGUUUGUUGACCACUGGGGUAAUAAACCUGGUUGCCAAGAAAAUUGAAACUUGGCUAAAACAAGGCUGCGAACUACCUUCAUCUAUAUUGUGGUCUCCACUUAUUAUCACGGACCAUAAAUUGAGAUGAGGCACAUUGGCUGAUGCCCUGGCAAUGACGUAAUUGAUUUCAGUGUUCCGAUGCUAACUAAAUGCAUAUAUCUUAAGUUUAUGUCAAUUAUUCACACAGUUUAUCUAACAUCACUAUUAUGACUUUAGAAAAAUAUUUACAAAGGGUUUAACAAUAAUUUUCCUGAACUAUUCAUCAAAGAGGAUUACGCUGCUCCUAACUCUGAGCCCUGCUGAUACUGUCUGUCAACAAGACUGGGUGAAAAAUGAAGCUUAUUAUUUUAAACCUUUGGACCAAUACUUGAGCGGCUAAAGAGGUCACGGGCAUUGUUUGUCCAAUUUCACCUGCAGAGAAUUUACUUAUUCCAAGAAUGUGAUUGUCAACAGGUUAAAUGACUUUAGAUAAUACACCAUGUACAGCUGGUGGGAAAUCCCUAAGCUAAUAAACUAGAGAGAAGGUGAGUAGACCCCCUGGAAAAUUAGCCGGCCUUUUUCCUUCUCAAUUCCUGAAUGUAUCCACACCUAUGGGAUUACAUUGCUUUUUCUUUGACGACCCUGUGAGGGACUGACUUUUGAAUUAUCUGUAAUCUUUUACAUUGCUAUAAAUUUAGCGCCUAACAGAGUGCCUGCACAUAAUUGGUGAUGGAUAAACAUUUGUUGAACGAAUGUGAGGAAGCUGACUUCAAAGAGAUUCAAAGCCGGACAGUGCAUGCUAUGAUGGAAAUACAUUAAAAACAAUAGCGAUAGGGACACCUGGGUGGCUCAGUGGGUGAGCAUCUGCCUUUGGCUCAGGGUAUGGUCCUGGGGUCCUGGAAUCGAGUCCCGCAGCAGGUUCCCCACAGGAUGCCUGCUUCUCCCUCUGCCUGUGUCUCUGCCUCUUUGUGUCUCUCAUGAAUAAAUAAAUAAAAUCUUAAAAAAAACAAAAACAAAAACCUUCAAAACGUAGCGAUAGGCACAGAUGCGAGAGUGAUGUGUGGCCGGGCAGCAGCUGGAUGUGGUGUGUGGAGGGGCAGGAGGCCAGGCCGUCUCCCUCCCUCUUCUUCGACCCCUCUAGCUUAGUCUAAAUGAAGAAAAGCGACGCUGCCAUUUGUGGCUUGCUCCUGUGGUCUGCUUCUCCGGGGUUUGCACCCUCCAUACUAAAAUGCCAUGUCUCUCUGCUUCCCUAGCCCUGUUUUUCCAUCUUACAUCAUUGGCUUAUGAGGCAGUAACCUAGUGACCCUGUUACAAUUCCCAUUAGAUCCGGUCACAGGUCCCUGCAUGCCUACUCAUUACACUCAGAGUAGAAACCAAGUCCUGUCUCUCUGUACGCAGCGAACC